UACGUAGGGUCCAAGUGUUAUCCGGAAUCACUGGGCGUAAAGCGUGCGUAGGUGGCGUGUUAAGUGUGAUGUUAAAUCGUGGGGCUCAACCCUGUCGCUGCAUCACAUACUGGCACACUAGAGGACGGCAGAGGCAAGUGGAAUUUGUAGUGUAGCAGUGAAAUGCGUAGAGAUUACAAGGAACACCAAAUGGCGAAGGCAGCUUGCUGGGCCAAUCCGUGACACUGAGGUACGAAAGCGUGGGGAGCGAACAGG
This 255-nucleotide ribosomal RNA is filed under the name uncultured bacterium. RNAcentral's name for it is "partial 16S ribosomal RNA". It matches the Rfam family "Bacterial small subunit ribosomal RNA", at positions 524 to 776 of the family's 1533-position model. The record is from RNAcentral.